Molecule: antisense RNA, 75 nt
Filed under: Streptomyces varsoviensis
Lineage: Bacteria; Bacillati; Actinomycetota; Actinomycetes; Kitasatosporales; Streptomycetaceae
Description: ASpks sRNA
Rfam family: ASpks TB sRNA
Source: RNAcentral
CUUGAGCGACCCCAGGUACAGCGGACGACCGGGCCGCCUGUCCCGCCCGUAUGUGGCCAGCAGCGCCUGGGCCUC